RNAcentral lists this long non-coding RNA (1107 nucleotides) under Sus scrofa (pig). RNAcentral describes it as "lncRNA (ENSSSCG00025037406.1)". Lineage: Eukaryota; Metazoa; Chordata; Mammalia; Artiodactyla; Suidae. The record is from RNAcentral.
AGGUUUUUAGGUCAGAUGUAUGACUCUUAUUCCACUUGAACUUUAUUUUUUUCCUCUCCUCUUGAGAUCUGAAACUCAAUGGUCUUUGUCACAAUUCAUGAUCCCAGGAAAAUCUGAAAAACACUAUAAUAUCAUAACCCAGGAGCAGCACCUCUAAGUGGAGGAUUUCUCUAUCUGGAGCUCUGAAAAGCACACACAAGAGAAAGCCAGGUAAUCCUCAGUGGAUAGGGGGACAGAGAGGAUUUCUAGUUGUGCUCUUCCAGAGGUGAUUUCUUUUGGAACUGCAGCUACCGCGCUCUGAGAACCGCCCAUUCCCCAGUGCACAGGAAAGGGUGGUCCAUGCCAGCCCCUUAGGAACUGCAAACCCACUCUUGCAGCCCCAGGUAAUUGGGUCAGUGGUAGAUGCUGCCUUGGGAUGGCUUGCCAGGUUCUCUCCCUUGGGAGCUUACAUUCCCUUGGGAGGCAAAAUGCUGGCCAGUCCUUGCUGGUCACUUGACAUAAAGUGCUGAGGGAUGGCUACCUUCUUUGAGAACUGAGAUGCAGAAAAAGAUGAUUGACAAGAGGAGGAUAAACAUGCUAUGUGUUAAGUCAGUGCAGUCUGAGGUUGUUUAUGACUACAGAUCAUAUUUUUUCACUAAUGCAGAUAAAGGAAAUAUAUCAUCAAGUAAAUUGAGGACAUUUGUACCUUGCAACCCAACAAUUCCGUUGCUAGACAUAUACUCAAGGGAAAACCUUAUAUAUUUGCAAAGGCAAAGGAAUGAGAUUUUAAAAAGAAGAAAACUUAAUGUGUAUCAAUGGAAGAAUGAAUACAUAAAUUGUGAUACAAAUGGAUCACUAUGCAGCAGUUAAAAAUAAAUGAAAUAAAGGUAUAUCUGUCACCAUAGGUAAGUGUCAAAAAGCAGAAAUGAAUCCGAUUAGGAGCCAUGAGAUGGUGGGUUUGAUCCCUGGCCUCGCUCAGUGGAUUAAGGAUCCAGCAUUGCCGUGAGCUGUGGUGUAGAUUUCAGACGUGGCUGAGAUCUGAUGUGGCUAUGGCUGUGGCUGUGGUACAGCUGUAACUUUGAUUGGACCCCUAGCCUGGGAACCUCCAUAUGCCAUGGGUGUAGCCCU